Molecule: long non-coding RNA, 257 nt
Filed under: Nicotiana benthamiana
Lineage: Eukaryota; Viridiplantae; Streptophyta; Magnoliopsida; Solanales; Solanaceae
Description: long non-coding RNA (NBEN_LNC013616)
Source: RNAcentral
UCCUAGUGUCCUAAGUUCUGCCCCCAUUGGUAAGCCAUGUUUUGGGACUUUGGACUUCCAUCUGAACUUGGAUGCUUGAGGGCUGGUAAUUCCACACUUGCACUAUUCUGUCAUGAUUGUUGUUUAGAAUGUAAGCCUUGCCUGGGGUUCUUAAAGCUCUUAGGAACUUUGAAACACUCUGAACAAGGGAAGGCCUUGGAAUCUAGAAUCCAGAUUUGGUGAAACACAUGUUAUUGGGUAUUAAGAUUGAAUUAGGC